GCUUGCUCUUAUGAAGUUAGCGGCGGACGGGUGAGUAACACGUGGGUAACCUGCCCAUAAGACUGGGAUAACUCCGGGAAACCGGGGCUAAUACCGGAUAACAUUUUGAACCGCAUGGUUCGAAAUUGAAAGGCGGCUUCGGCUGUCACUUAUGGAUGGACCCGCGUCGCAUUAGCUAGUUGGUGAGGUAACGGCUCACCAAGGCAACGAUGCGUAGCCGACCUGAGAGGGUGAUCGGCCACACUGGGACUGAGACACGGCCCAGACUCCUACGGGAGGCAGCAGUAGGGAAUCUUCCGCAAUGGACGAAAGUCUGACGGAGCAACGCCGCGUGAGUGAUGAAGGCUUUCGGGUCGUAAAACUCUGUUGUUAGGGAAGAACAAGUGCUAGUUGAAUAAGCUGGCACCUUGACGGUACCUAACCAGAAAGCCACGGCUAACUACGUGCCAGCAGCCGCGGUAAUACGUAGGUGGCAAGCGUUAUCCGGAAUUAUUGGGCGUAAAGCGCGCGCAGGUGGUUUCUUAAGUCUGAUGUGAAAGCCCACGGCUCAACCGUGGAGGGUCAUUGGAAACUGGGAGACUUGAGUGCAGAAGAGGAAAGUGGAAUUCCAUGUGUAGCGGUGAAAUGCGUAGAGAUAUGGAGGAACACCAGUGGC
RNAcentral lists this ribosomal RNA (655 nucleotides) under Bacillus thuringiensis. RNAcentral's name for it is "bacterial SSU rRNA". It matches the Rfam family "Bacterial small subunit ribosomal RNA", at positions 78 to 716 of the family's 1533-position model. Lineage: Bacteria; Bacillati; Bacillota; Bacilli; Caryophanales; Bacillaceae. The record is from RNAcentral.